Molecule: unclassified non-coding RNA, 275 nt
Filed under: fungal sp.
Lineage: Eukaryota; Fungi
Description: partial internal transcribed spacer region
Rfam family: Eukaryotic small subunit ribosomal RNA (bases 1-46)
Source: RNAcentral
AAGUCGUAACAAGGUUUCCGUAGGUGAACCUGCGGAAGGAUCAUUAACGUACCUCCCGGCGGAGGCCGACGCGUCCCUGCUCCGGUCGGAAACGGCCGUGCAGCGGGACGCCCGGCCCUGCCACAACCUUUACCAAACCACUUGUGCACCUCAUCGGCGGAAGGCCUUUGCGGGCCGGAAGCCGCUUCACAAAACACGAAAAACUCAAAGUAUGACAAGCGACUCUUUGUCGCCUAACAUUUGAACAACUUUCAACAACGGAUCUCUUGGCUCUC